This 497-nucleotide ribosomal RNA is filed under the name uncultured bacterium. RNAcentral describes it as "partial 16S ribosomal RNA". It matches the Rfam family "Bacterial small subunit ribosomal RNA", at positions 28 to 507 of the family's 1533-position model. The record is from RNAcentral.
GAUGAACGCUGGCGGCGUGCCUAAUACAUGCAAGUCGAGCGAACAGACGAGGAGCUUGCUCCUCUGACGUUAGCGGCGGACGGGUGAGUAACACGUGGAUAACCUACCUAUAAGACUGGGAUAACUUCGGGAAACUGGAGCUAAUACCGGAUAAUAUAUUGAACCGCAUGGUUCAAUAGUGAAAGACGGUUUUGCUGUCACUUAUAGAUGGAUCCGCGCCGCAUUAGCUAGUUGGUAAGGUAACGGCUUACCAAGGCAACGAUGCGUAGCCGACCUGAGAGGGUGAUCGGCCACACUGGAACUGAGACACGGUCCAGACUCGUACGGGAGGCAGCAGUAGGGAAUCUUCCGCAAUGGGCGAAAGCCUGACGGAGCAACGCCGCGUGAGUGAUGAAGGUCUUCGGAUCGUAAAACUCUGUUAUUAGGGAAGAACAAAUGUGUAAGUAACUAUGCACGUCUUGACGGUACCUAAUCAGAAAGCCACGGCUAACUACGUG